This 82-nucleotide non-coding RNA is filed under the name Verminephrobacter eiseniae EF01-2. RNAcentral's name for it is "sucA.2008-01-16 RNA". It matches the Rfam family "SucA RNA motif". Lineage: Bacteria; Pseudomonadati; Pseudomonadota; Betaproteobacteria; Burkholderiales; Comamonadaceae. The record is from RNAcentral.
UCGCAUCCGCCAACCGGUCCAGCCGUGUCGCGGAAGGUUUUCCAACCAACUCAUGCUUUCCGCAGGAAAGCGCAGGUCAGCG